UACGGGGGGGGCAAGCGUUGUUCGGAAUUACUGGGCGUAAAGGGUUUGUAGGUGGCUUGCUAAGUCAGACGUGAAAUCCCUCAGCUUAACUGGGGAACUGCGUCUGAGACUGGCAAGCUUGAGUGCAGGAGAGGAACGCGGAAUUCCAGGUGUAGCGGUGAAAUGCGUAGAUAUCUGGAGGAACACCGGUGGCGAAGGCGGCGUUCUGGACUGUAACUGACACUGAAAAACGAAAGCCAGGGGAGCAAACGGG
RNAcentral lists this ribosomal RNA (253 nucleotides) under uncultured bacterium. RNAcentral's name for it is "partial 16S ribosomal RNA". It matches the Rfam family "Bacterial small subunit ribosomal RNA", at positions 524 to 776 of the family's 1533-position model. The record is from RNAcentral.